UACGUAGGGUGCGAGCGUUGUCCGGAAUUAUUGGGCGUAAAGAGCUCGUAGGUGGCGUGUCGCGUCUGCCGUGAAAGCCCAUGGCUUAACUGUGGGUCUGCGGUGGAUACGGGCAGGCUGGAGGCUGGUAGGGGCAAGCGGAAUUCCUGGUGUAGCGGUGAAAUGCGCAGAUAUCAGGAGGAACACCGGUGGCGAAGGCGGCUUGCUGGGCCAGUUCUGACGCUGAGACGCGAAAGCGUGGGUAGCAAACAGG
Molecule: ribosomal RNA, 253 nt
Filed under: uncultured bacterium
Lineage: Bacteria
Description: partial 16S ribosomal RNA
Rfam family: Bacterial small subunit ribosomal RNA
Source: RNAcentral